This 465-nucleotide ribosomal RNA is filed under the name uncultured bacterium. RNAcentral's name for it is "partial 16S ribosomal RNA". It matches the Rfam family "Bacterial small subunit ribosomal RNA", at positions 28 to 507 of the family's 1533-position model. The record is from RNAcentral.
GAUGAACGCUGGCGGCGUGCUUAACACAUGCAAGUCGAACGGAAAGGCUCCUGCUUGCAGGGGUACUCGAGUGGCGAACGGGUGAGUAACACGUGGGUGAUCUGCCCUGCACUUCGGGAUAAGCCUGGGAAACUGGGUCUAAUACCGGCUAGGACGAUGGUUUGGAUGCCAUUGUGGAAAGUUUUUCGGUGUGGGAUGAGCUCGCGGCCUAUCAGCUUGUUGGUGGGGUAAUGGCCUACCAAGGCGUCGACGGGUAGCCGGCCUGAGAGGGUGUACGGCCACAUUGGGACUGAGAGACGGCCCAGACUCCUACGGGAGGCAGCAGUGGGGAAUAUUGCACAAUGGGCGCAAGCCUGAUGCAGCGACGCCGCGUGGGGGAUGACGGCCUUCGGGUUGUAAACUCCUUUCGCUAGGGACGAAGCGCAAGUGACGGUACCUGGAGAAGAAGCACCGGCUAACUACGUG